This 616-nucleotide ribosomal RNA is filed under the name Bacillus tequilensis. RNAcentral's name for it is "bacterial SSU rRNA". It matches the Rfam family "Bacterial small subunit ribosomal RNA", at positions 274 to 880 of the family's 1533-position model. The record is from RNAcentral. Lineage: Bacteria; Bacillati; Bacillota; Bacilli; Caryophanales; Bacillaceae.
CGACGAUGCGUAGCCGACCUGAGAGGGUGAUCGGCCACACUGGGACUGAGACACGGCCCAGACUCCUACGGGAGGCAGCAGUAGGGAAUCUUCCGCAAUGGACGAAAGUCUGACGGAGCAACGCCGCGUGAGUGAUGAAGGUUUUCGGAUCGUAAAGCUCUGUUGUUAGGGAAGAACAAGUACCGUUCGAAUAGGGCGGUACCUUGACGGUACCUAACCAGAAAGCCACGGCUAACUACGUGCCAGCAGCCGCGGUAAUACGUAGGUGGCAAGCGUUGUCCGGAAUUAUUGGGCGUAAAGGGCUCGCAGGCGGUUUCUUAAGUCUGAUGUGAAAGCCCCCGGCUCAACCGGGGAGGGUCAUUGGAAACUGGGGAACUUGAGUGCAGAAGAGGAGAGUGGAAUUCCACGUGUAGCGGUGAAAUGCGUAGAGAUGUGGAGGAACACCAGUGGCGAAGGCGACUCUCUGGUCUGUAACUGACGCUGAGGAGCGAAAGCGUGGGGAGCGAACAGGAUUAGAUACCCUGGUAGUCCACGCCGUAAACGAUGAGUGCUAAGUGUUAGGGGGUUUCCGCCCCUUAGUGCUGCAGCUAACGCAUUAAGCACCCCGGCUGGGGGA